UAAAAACCCCGACUUCGGAAGGGGUGUAUUUAUUAGAUACAAAACCAAUGCCCUUCGGGGCUCUUUGGUGAUUCAUGAUAACUAUACGAAUCGCACGGCCUUGCGCCGGCGAUGGUUCAUUCAAAUUUCUUCCCUAUCAACUUUCGAUGUUUGGGUAUUGGCCAAACAUGGUCGCAACGGGUAACGGAGGGUUAGGGCUCGACCCCGGAGAAGGAGCCUGAGAAACGGCUACUACAUCCAAGGAAGGCAGCAGGCGCGCAAAUUACCCAAUCCCGACUCGGGGAGGUAGUGACAAUAAAUACUGAUACAGGGCCCUUUCGGGCCUUGUAAUUGGAAUGAGUACAAUUUAAAUCCCUUAACGAGGAACAAUUGGAGGGCAAGUCUGGUGCCAGCAGCCGCGGUAAUUCCAGCUCCAAUAGCGUAUAUUAAAGUUGUUGUGGUUAAAAAGCUCGUAGUUGAACCUUGGGCCUGGCUGGCCGGUCCGCCUCACCGCGUGCACUGGUCCGGCCGGGCCUUUCCCUCUGUGGAACCCCAUACCCUUCACUGGGCGUGGCGGGGAAACAGGACAUUUACUUU
This 576-nucleotide ribosomal RNA is filed under the name uncultured eukaryote. RNAcentral describes it as "SSU rRNA". It matches the Rfam family "Eukaryotic small subunit ribosomal RNA", at positions 174 to 758 of the family's 1831-position model. The record is from RNAcentral.